Non-coding RNA from Prunus avium (sweet cherry), 2738 nucleotides. NCBI's taxonomy places the organism in Eukaryota, Viridiplantae, Streptophyta, Magnoliopsida, Rosales, Rosaceae. The record is from RefSeq and is a predicted model, not a curated record.
GGCAUGUUGACGUUUUGAGCAAAAGCACAAGGCUGAAGCAUCAGCAGCUAACUGCCAUUGCCGCCUGGUCACGAUAGAAGCAAAGAAACUUGGGUUACAAACGUGUGUUCUGAAGUUUUUCUCCGAAAUGGAGCAGAAACAGAGCAUAGAGCAAUUCACAGGCCGAGCUCGGCUACCAAACUUUGCAAUCCCAAGGCGCUAUGAUCUUCAUCUCAAGCUUGAUCUCUCAGCAUGCACGUACUCCGGCACCGUGCAGAUUAACGUUAGCAUUGUUGAAGAGACCAAGUUUCUUGUCUUGAAUGCUCUUGAACUUGAUGUUCAUGAAGUUUGCUUCACCAACUCUCAUGGACAAUACCGCCCAAGUGAUGUUGUUUUGGAUGGUGAUGAAGAAUUUCUUGUUUUGGUGUUUAAUCAAGCACUUGGUGUUGGUGAAGGAGUUUUGGGGAUUGGGUUUUCUGCGGUCCUUAAUGCGCACUUGAAAGGCUUCUAUAAAUGCACUUACUUGGAUGGAGGAGAGAAAAAAGAAUAUGGCCGUCACUCAAUUUGAACCUGUGGAUGCAAGGCGAUGCUUCCCAUGUUGGGAUGAACCUGCACUCAAGGCCACCUUCAAGAUUGCAGUAGAUGUACCAUCAGAGCUGACAGCUUUGUCCAAUAUGCCAAUUAUCAGUGAAAAGCUUGAUGCAAAUGUUAAGACUGUUUAUUUUGAGGAAUCUCCUAUUAUGUCAACUUAUUUAGUAGCUGUUGUUGUUGGCCUAUUUGAACAUAUUGAAGAUACAACAUCUGAUGGGGUAAAGGUUCGUGCAUAUUGCCCUGUUGGGAAGAGUGACAAAGGGGAGUUUGCUUUAAAUCUUGCUGUUAAGACGCUUGAUCUUUUCUCCAAAUACUUCUCAACGCCUUACUCACUUCCCAAACUUGAUAUGGUUGCGGUUCCUGAAUUUUCUGGUGGGGCCAUGGAGAAUUAUGGUUUGAUCACAUACCGUGAAAAUGAAAUGCUUUAUGAUCAUUUGCAUUCCACAACAGCAAGGAAGCAAAGAAUGGCAAUUGUUGUAGCACAUGAAGUAGCAUAUCAGUGGUUCGGCAAUCUGGUAACAAUGGAAUGGUGGACUGAUUUAUGGCUUAAUGAGGGUUUUGCGACUUGGGUAAGUUACAUGGCCACUGAUAUUUUAUUUCCUGAGUGGAAAAUAUGGUCUCAAUUUCUUCAACAAACUACUGGUGGCCUAGUCAAGGAUGCACUGGAACAAUCGCAUCCAAUUGAGGUGGAGAUACACCAUGCUCGUUCAAUUCUUGAAGUUUUUGAUGAUAUCAGCUAUAAAAAGGGAUCUGCUGUUAUUCGAAUGCUGCAGAGUUAUCUUGGGGAUGACAUAUUCCAGAAAUCAUUAAGUUCCUACAUAAAAAGAUAUUCUGGAAAAAAUGCGAAGACGGAAGAUUUAUGGAGUGUUCUUUCGGAGGAAUCUGGUGUCAAAGUCAGCGAAAUAAUGGAUGCUUGGACAAAGGAAAAAGGAUAUCCUGUUAUAUCUGUAAAAGCCAAGGAGCAUAUUUUGGAAUUUGAGCAGACACAGUUCCUGUCAUCCGGUUUGCAAGGUGAUGGGAAUUGGAUUGUUCCAAUAAAUUUUUCACUUGGUUCGUACGACAGACACAAGAGUUUCCUUUUGGAAACAAAGUCCAGAGAAGUGGACAUUUCAGAUCUUGUUGAUUCCUUUGAUAAUGAACAACUGUGGGUGAAGAUUAAUAUCGACCAGAGUGGUUUCUAUAGGGUCAUUUAUGAAGAUAAGCUUGCAGCUCGACUUAGGAAGGCUAUUGAGCAUAAUAGCUUGGAAGCAACAGACAAGUUUGGCAUUCUGGAUGAUGCAUAUGCUCUCUGUGAAGCUUGUGAACAAUCACUUUCCUCUUUGUUUUCCUUGAUGGAUGUAUACAGAAAAGAAGUUAAUUAUAUUGUCUUAACAAAAUUGAUCGACGUUUGUUAUAAUGUCGUCAAAAUCUCAAGUGAGGCCAUCCCAGAUUCAGCAAAUGAUUUGAAACAAUUUUUCAUCAAUCUCCUUCUGUUUCCAGCAGAAAAACUGGGUUGGGAAUCAAUACCUGGAGAGGAUCAUUUCAGUGCACUUCUGAGAGCAGAAAUCUUGCAGGCCUUGGUUAUCUUUGGCCACAAUCAAACGCAGAAAGAAGCAUUAGACCGUUUUCAGACAUUAUUGAAUGAUAGAAACACUCCACUUCUUUCAGCUGACACAAAAGGGGCUGCGUACAUUGCCGUGAUGAGGAAUGCUAGCAUCUCAAAUAGGAAAGGUUUUGAGUCUCUUUUAAAUGCUUACAGAGAAGCCAAUACAGUGCAAGAGAAGGAAAGGAUUCUACGUUUGUUAGCAUCUUCUCCGGACCCGGAUACAGUUAUUGAGGUUCUGAACUUUUUCUUAUCGGAUGAGGUUCGAGAUCAGGAUGGAUAUGUUUACAAUUUGAAGAGUUCAAAUUUUUGGUUAUGAACGCAGGAGAACUGGGACCUGAUCUUGAGCAAAUAUGGUGCUGGAAUGCUACUCACCCAUUUUGUACGAGACAUUGUGACACCGUUAUGUAGCAAUGAAAAGGCUGAUGAGGUGGAAGAAUUUUUCGCGGGCCGUGUGCAUCCUGCGAUUUCUAUGACUUUGAAGCAAAGCAUUGCACAGGUCCGAAUCAAGGCGAGGUGGGUUGAACACAUAAGGCAACAACAAUCUGUGCAAGAGCUAGUCAAAGAAUUAGCAGGCAAGAAAUGA